UGGGGAAUAUUGCACAAUGGGCGCAAGCCUGAUGCAGCCAUGCCGCGUGUAUGAAGAAGGCCUUCGGGUUGUAAAGUACUUUCAGCGGGGAGGAAGGCGAUAAGGUUAAUAACCUUGUCGAUUGACGUUACCCGCAGAAGAAGCACCGGCUAACUCCGUGCCAGCAGCCGCGGAAAUACGGAGGGGGCAAGCGUUAAUCGGAAUUACUGGGCGUAAAGCGCACGCAGGCGGUCUGUCAAGUCGGAUGUGAAAUCCCCGGGCUCAACCUGGGAACUGCAUUCGAAACUGGCAGGCUAGAGUCUUGUAGAGGGGGGUAGAAUUCCAGGUGUAGCGGUGAAAUGCGUAGAGAUCUGGAGGAAUACCGGUGGCGAAGGCGGCCCCCUGGACAAAGACUGACGCUCAGGUGCGAAAGCGUGGGGAGCAAACA
This 427-nucleotide ribosomal RNA is filed under the name uncultured bacterium. RNAcentral describes it as "partial 16S ribosomal RNA". It matches the Rfam family "Bacterial small subunit ribosomal RNA", at positions 355 to 774 of the family's 1533-position model. The record is from RNAcentral.